GCUGGCGGCGUGCUUAACACAUGCAAGUCGAACGAGAAAUCUUUAGCUUGCUAGAGAAAGUAAAGUGGCGCACGGGUGAGUAACGCGUGGGUAAUCUGCCUCGGAAUCGGGGAUAACAUUGCGAAAGCGAUGCUAAUACCGGAUAAAAUCUGGUUGGCUUCGGUGAACCGGAUCAAAGGUGGUCUCUUUAUAAAAGCUACCGUUUGGAGAUGAGCUCGCGUACCAUUAGCUAGUUGGUGAGGUAAAGGCUCACCAAUGCGACGAUGGUUAGCUGGUCUGAGAGGAUGAUCAGCCACACCGGAACUGGAACACGGUCCGGACUCCUACGGGAGGCAGCAGUGAGGAAUUUUGCGCAAUGGGGGAAACCCUGACGCAGCAACGCCGCGUGAGUGAUGAAGGCUUUCGGGUCGUAAAGCUCUGUCAGGUGGGAAGAACCCACCAAGUGUUAAGACCACUUGGUGCUGACGGUACCACCGAAGGAAGCACCGGCUAACUCCGUGCCAGCAGCCGCGGUAAUACGGGGGGUGCGAGCGUUAUUCGGAAUCAUUGGGCGUAAAGGGCGCGCAGGCGGUUUUGUAAGUCAGAUGUGAAAUCCCGGGGCUUAACCCCGGAAGUGCAUAUGAAACUAUGAGACUUGAGUAUGGGACAGGGAAGCGGAAUUCCUGGUGUAGCGGUGAAAUGCGUA
This 685-nucleotide ribosomal RNA is filed under the name uncultured organism. RNAcentral describes it as "bacterial SSU rRNA". It matches the Rfam family "Bacterial small subunit ribosomal RNA", at positions 35 to 692 of the family's 1533-position model. The record is from RNAcentral.